GCGGCCGCUGGGUGCAGCCGAGCGGUGUGGAGCGGAGAGAAUACUCGAAGGGCUCUCCUGAUACUAACAGUUUUACGAUUUAAAACUUCGCCAGAAUUUCGACAGGGUCUCACUGUAUUGCCCAGGUUGGUCUCGAACUCCUGGCUUCAAGCGAUUCUCCCACCUCAGCCUCCCAAAGUGCUGGGAUUACAGGCGUGAGCCACCACGCCUGGCCUCACUCAAACAGUAAACGAGCUUUAUUGCAGCCGGGCACGGUGGCUUACGCCUGUAAUCCCAGCACUUUGGGAGGCUGAGGCGGGCGGAUCACCUGAGGUUCGGAGUUCGAGACCAGCCUGACCAACAUGGAGAAACCCCGUUUCUACUAAAAAUACACAGUUGGGCUGGGGUGGUGGCUCAUGCCUAUAAUACCAGCACUUUGGGAGGCUGAGGCGGGCAGAUCACCUGAGGUUGGGAGUUCAAGACCAACCUGACCAACAUGGAGAAACCCCGUCUCUCCUAAAAAUACAAAAGUAGCCGGGCAUGGUGGUGCAUACCUGUAAUCCCAGCUACUCGGGAGGUUGAAGCAAGAGAAUCACUUGAACUCAGGAGGCGGAGGUUGCAGUGAGCCAAGAUUGCACCAUUGCCCUCCAGCCUGAGCAACAAGAGUGAAACUCCGUCUCAAAAAAAUAUCCCUAAACAACACAUUAAUUUUAUAUCCUUUUGAAACUUUAUGUAUGUGACGCAUUCCCAGACUCUUCAGCCAACUGAGCAUCAGCUUCUUCACAGCAAUUGGGUCCUGAUUAAUGUCCUCCCAAGACAGACUUCAUUGGAUCCACGAUCAAGAGGACUCUGCCAGGUUUUUCUGACCCCUCUACAUUGCUAUAAAGUGCCAAGGCCUUAAGACUUGGGUACGUGUGUUACAACGGCAAGAGUGCCAGCGCCAACAAAAGACCCAUUGGACCUGUCAGCUCCUCUGUUUCACCAAGCAGACACAAUAACCUUACCAACAAAGCAGAGUAAGCCAAGUGCCUCUGUGUGACACCACCAGCAGCUGAUGACGCAU
Molecule: long non-coding RNA, 1042 nt
Filed under: Homo sapiens (human)
Lineage: Eukaryota; Metazoa; Chordata; Mammalia; Primates; Hominidae
Description: HSALNT0018190
Source: RNAcentral